GUGGGGAAUCUUCCGCAAUGGACGAAAGUCUGACGGAGCAACGCCGCGUGAGUGAUGAAGGUCUUCGGAUUGUAAAGCUCUGUUAAUCGGGACGAAAGAGCCUAGUGUGAAUAAUGCUAGGAAGUGACGGUACCGGAAUAGAAAGCCACGGCUAACUACGUGCCAGCAGCCGCGGUAAUACGUAGGUGGCAAGCGUUGUCCGGAAUUAUUGGGCGUAAAGCGCGCGCAGGCGGAUCUGCCAGUCUGUCUUAAAAGUUCGGGGCUUAACCCCGUGAUGGGAUGGAAACUACACAUCUAGAGUAUCGGAGAGGAAAGUGGAAUUCCAAGUGUAGCGGUGAAAUGCGUAGAGAUUUGGAAGAACACCAGUGGCGAAGGCGACUUUCUGGACGAUGUCUGACGCUGAGGCGCGAAAGCUAGGGGAGCGAACGGGAUUAGAAACCCCUGUAGUCC
RNAcentral lists this ribosomal RNA (450 nucleotides) under uncultured bacterium. RNAcentral describes it as "partial 16S ribosomal RNA". It matches the Rfam family "Bacterial small subunit ribosomal RNA", at positions 354 to 796 of the family's 1533-position model. The record is from RNAcentral.